GCUAAGGGACGGAGCUUAGUGGUAGAACAUUUGACUUGCAUGCAGAAGGUUGUAGGUUCAAUCCCUGGCAUCCCCCAGUA
Podarcis lilfordi (Lilford's wall lizard) is the source of this 80-nucleotide non-coding RNA. NCBI's taxonomy places the organism in Eukaryota, Metazoa, Chordata, Lepidosauria, Squamata, Lacertidae. The record is from the annotation of a GenBank genome assembly.